This 20-nucleotide small nuclear RNA is filed under the name Arabidopsis thaliana (thale cress). RNAcentral describes it as "snRNA_00756". The record is from RNAcentral. Lineage: Eukaryota; Viridiplantae; Streptophyta; Magnoliopsida; Brassicales; Brassicaceae.
UAAUAUUACUUUCGUUCUGU